RNAcentral lists this transfer RNA (72 nucleotides) under Salmo salar (Atlantic salmon). It matches the Rfam family "tRNA". From Rfam's summary of the family: Transfer RNA (tRNA) molecules are approximately 80 nucleotides in length. Their secondary structure includes four short double-helical elements and three loops (D, anti-codon, and T loops). Lineage: Eukaryota; Metazoa; Chordata; Actinopteri; Salmoniformes; Salmonidae. The record is from Rfam by way of RNAcentral.
CCCACUGUAGCUCAGUUGGUAGAGCAUGGCGCUUGCAACACCAGGGCUGUGGGUUUGAUUCCCAUGGGGGGC